RNAcentral lists this ribosomal RNA (492 nucleotides) under uncultured bacterium. Its description in RNAcentral is "partial 16S ribosomal RNA". It matches the Rfam family "Bacterial small subunit ribosomal RNA", at positions 29 to 507 of the family's 1533-position model. The record is from RNAcentral.
AGUGAACGCUGGCGGUAUGCCUAACACAUGCAAGUCGAACGGGAGCACAGUAAGAGCUUGCUCUUACGGGUGGCGCGUGUCGGAAGGGUGAGGAAUACAUCGGAAUCUACUUUUUCGUGGGGGAUAACGUAGGGAAACGUACGCUAAUACCGCAUACGACCUACGUGUGAAAGCAGGGGAUCUUCGGGCCUUGUGCGAUUGAAUGAGCCGAUGUCGGAUUAGUUAGUUGGCGGGGUAAAGGCCAACCAAGGCGACGAUCCGUAGCUGGUCUGAGAGGAUGAUUCGCCACACUGGAACUGAGACACGGCCCAGACUCCGACGGUGAGAAGCAGUGCGGAAUAUUGGACAAUGCGGGCAAGCCUGAUCCAGCCAUACCGGGUGGGUGAAGAAGGCCUUAGGGUUCUAAAGCGCUUUAGUUGGGAAAGAAAAGCAGCAGGUUAACCCCCCGCUGUUCUGACGGUACCGAAAGAAUAAGCACCGGCUAACUCCGUG